RNAcentral lists this ribosomal RNA (1395 nucleotides) under Triticum aestivum (bread wheat). RNAcentral's name for it is "partial small subunit ribosomal RNA". The record is from RNAcentral. Lineage: Eukaryota; Viridiplantae; Streptophyta; Magnoliopsida; Poales; Poaceae.
AUGGGGGACUGCGCCGUGGAGAACGGCCACGCCCACCCGAAGGAAGAGGACGCGCCGGAAGUGCCCGUCGAGCCCGCGGAGGGCGCCGCGGAGCCGCAGGUGGUGGCUGGCGGGCAGAGGAAGCAGAGAGGGAUACGCAGGGAGCCGUCGUUCUCGCGGUGGUGCAAGGACCCCUCCGCGGCGCCCAAUGCCCCCGCCGGCGCCGCUUCGCCGGCCUCUGCACCGAGCGACGAUGAUUCGGAGGAGUUCGAGCUGCCGCUUCUGCCGCCCGCCGCCGCCGCCCAUCGCUCGCCGAUGGAUAUCGAGGCAGGAGCGGCGGCGGGAUCUGACAGCGUCCCGGUCUCGCCGUGGCUGAUCGCCAAGAUUAUAUUUCUGAUAGCGAGUUGGUACACGCUGAGCACCUGCUUGACGCUGUAUAACAAGGAGAUGCUCGGGAAGCGCAUGUGGAAGUUCCCUGCCCCGUUCCUGAUGAACACGGUGCAUUUCACAAUGCAGGCUGUUGCGUCGAGGGUGAUCGUGUGGUUCCAGCAACGGGGCAUGGAGGCAGAGCGUAAUCCAAUGUCAUGGAAAGAUUACUUUCUGCGAGUUGUUCCAACAGCUUUGGCUACUGCUCUUGAUAUAAAUUUGACCAACAUUUCGUUUGUUUUCAUUACUGUGACAUUCGCUACAAUGUGUAAAUCUGGGGCUCCAAUUUUCAUUCUUCUCUUUGCUUUUCUAUUCAGGCUAGAGAAGCCGAGCUUUAACAUUCUUGGAAUCAUGCUGAUUGUUUCUGUUGGAGUUCUACUGACAGUUGCUAAAGAGACACAAUUUAAUCUUUGGGGAUUUAUAUUUAUUAUGCUUGCUGCUGUCAUGUCUGGUUUCCGCUGGUGCAUGACACAGAUUCUCCUCCAGAAAGAGGAAUAUGGAUUAAAGAACCCCUUCACCUUAAUGAGUUAUGUUACCCCGGUGAUGGCAAUAACAACUGCGAUUAUUUCCAUUGCCAUGGAUCCAUGGCAUGAAGUCAGAGCAAGUCACUUCUUUGAUAGUCCAGCUCACAUAUUAAGAAGCAUCUUAUUGAUGCUUCUAGGUGGUGCUUUGGCAUUCUUCAUGGUUUUGACAGAAUAUGUUCUGGUUUCUGUUACAAGUGCUGUAACAGUGACCAUAGCUGGGAUUGUCAAGGAAGCUGUCACAAUUUUGGUUGCUGUGCUUUUCUUCAAUGAUCCAUUUACCUGGUUAAAGGGAUUUGGACUUGCAACAAUUAUAUUUGGUGUCAGCCUUUUCAAUCUGUACAAGUAUCAUAGGUUCAAGAAAGACCGCCACAGCAAACAUGUUGACCCAAAUUCCCAUUCCUCCAAUGGUGCCUCAAAAUAUGUUAUCAUUGAUGAUGAUAUUGAAGAUCUGGAUGAUACAGGCUGA